This 448-nucleotide ribosomal RNA is filed under the name uncultured bacterium. RNAcentral describes it as "bacterial SSU rRNA". It matches the Rfam family "Bacterial small subunit ribosomal RNA", at positions 355 to 825 of the family's 1533-position model. The record is from RNAcentral.
UGGGGAAUAUUGGACAAUGGGCGAAAGCCUGAUCCAGCAAUGCCGCGUGAGUGAUGAAGGCCUUAGGGUUGUAAAGCUCUUUUUACCAGGGAUGAUAAUGACAGUACCUGGAGAAUAAGCUCCGGCUAACUCCGUGCCAGCAGCCGCGGUAAUACGGAGGGAGCUAGCGUUGUUCGGAAUUACUGGGCGUAAAGCGUACGUAGGCGGUGACUCAAGUCAGAGGUGAAAGCCUGGAGCUCAACUCCAGAACUGCCUUUGAAACUAGGUCGCUAGAAUCACGGAGAGGUGAGUGGAAUUCCGAGUGUAGAGGUGAAAUUCGUAGAUAUUCGGAAGAACACCAGUGGCGAAGGCGGCUCACUGGACGUGUAUUGACGCUGAGGUACGAAAGCGUGGGGAGCAAACAGGAUUAGAUACCCCGGUAGUCCCUGAGCGGGCUGGCAAGGCGCAU